AGCAAAUUCAUAUUUAAAUGCUAUGACAAAUAUGAACACUACCACAAUUUAAUGAUUUCCCUUUAUAUUAAUUGAUGAAUACAAUUAUCUUAAAAUGUAUUCCAAUAAUGGCCCAAAAUCUAAAUAAAAACUCAAGAAUAACUACGUACCUGAAACCUAGAACCUCUGUGCGAUUAAAACUGGAUCCAUAUUUGUUUCGAUAAACUGUGUCCAGCUGUAAAAGUAAUAUAAGCAAUUUUAGCAAUUUAUCUUGAGAACUGAAAUGUUGACAAACAAUUUGAGGGAACGUGUUUGACAUAAUGACAAAUAUAAAAACUUAUUUGGGGGAUGAAAUGCCCCUUUAAGAACCUGACAGCUGUACAACUGAAGAUGAACAGUAUUAUUAAAAGAGUGGAAAGUAAAACAGAAUUUACCGCUGUAGCCACAGUACUUGCUAAUGCUUUGAACGCUGGUGAAGAAACAUUUUUCAAAUCUGCUUUGAAGUUUUGCUCCAAUUUGAAGUCCAACUUAACCUCUGGUGGUGGAGGGGCAGGUGUUCUGAUAGUAGUUGAGGAACCAGUUGUAACUGUGGUCAGAGCAACUGUGGUUGUUGUUGGAGUAGCUGUGGUUGUUUUGGGAGGAGCUGUGGUUCUUGUGGGAGCAGCUGUGGUUGUUGUGGGAGCAACUGUGGUUGUUGUGGGAGCAACUGUGGUUGUUGUGGGAGCAACUGUGGUUGUUGUGAGACCAGCUGUGGUUGUUAUUGGAGCAGCUAUGGUUGUUGUUGGAGUAGUUGUGGUUGUUGUAGGAACAGCUAAGGUAGUUGUGGGAGCAGCUGUGGUUGUUGUUGGAGCAGCUGUUGUUGUUAUGAGGGAACCUGUGGUUGUUGUGGGGGCAGCUGUGGUUGUUGUUGGAGCAGCUGUGGUUGUUGUUAGAGCACCUGUGGUUGCUGUUGGAGCAGCUGUUGUUGUUGGAGCAGCUGUGGUUGUUGUUGGACCAGCUGUGGUUGUUGUGAGACCAGCUGUGGUUGUUGUGGGAGCAACUGUGGUUGUUGUGGGAGCAACUGUGGUUGUUGUGGGAGCAACUGUGGUUGUUGUGGGAGCAACUGUGGUUGUUGUGAGACCAGCUGUGGUUGGUGUGAGACCAGCUGUGGUUGGUGUGAGACCAGCUGUGGUUGUUGUGAGACCAGCUGUGGUUGUUGUUGGAGCAGCUAUGGUUGUUAUUGGAGCAGCUGUGGUUGUUGUUGGAGUAGUUAUGGUUGUUGUAGGAAUAGCUGUGGUAGUUGUGGGAGCAGCUGUGGUUGUUGUGGGAGCAAGUGUGGUUGUUGUGGGAGCAAAUGUGUUUGUUGUUAGACCAGCUGUGGUUGUUAGGGGAGCAGCUGUGGUUGUUGCGGGAGCAGCUGUGGUAGUUGUGGGAGCAGCUGUGGUUGUUGUGGGAGCAACUGUGGUUGUUGUGGGAGCAACUGUGGUUGUUGUGAGACCAGCGGUGGUUGUUAGGGGAGCAGCUGUGGUUGUUGUUGGAGCAGCUGUGGUUGUUGUUAGAGCAGCUGUGGUUGUUGUUAGAGCAGCUGUGGUUGUUGUUGGAGCAGCUGUGGUUGUUGUUGGAGCAGCUGGUGUUGUUGUUGGACCAGCUGUGGUUGUUGUGGGAGCAACUGUGGUUGUUGUGGGAGCAACUGUGGUUGUUGUGGGAGCAACUGUGGUUGUGAGACCAGCUGUGGUUGUUGUGAGACCAGCUGUGGUUGUUGUGAGACCAGCUGUGGUUGUUGUGAGACCAGCUGUGGUUGUUGUUGGAGCAGCUGUGGUUGUUGUUGGAGCAGCUGUGGUUGUUGUUGGAGCAGCUGUGGUUGUUGUAAGAGCAGCUAUGGUUGUUAUUGGAGCAGCUGUGGUUGUUGUUGGAGUAGUUAUGGUUGUUGUAGGAAUAGCUGUGGUAGUUGUGGGAGCAGCUGUGGUUGUUGUGGGAGCAGCUGUGGUUGUUGCGGGAAAAACUGUUGUUGUUGUGGGAGCAAAUGUGUUUGUUGUUAGACCAGCUGUGGUUGUUAGGGGAGCAGCUGUGGUUGUUGCGGGAGCAGCUGUGGUUGUUGUGGGAGCAGCUGUGGUUGUUGUGGGAGCAACUGUGGUUGUUGUGGGAGCAACUGUGGUUGUUAUGAGACCAGUGGUGGUUGUUGGGGAGCAGCUGUGGUUGUUGUUGUAGCAGUUAUGGUUGUUGUAGCUGCAGCUGUUGUAGUCUUAGCAGCAGCUGAGGUUAUUAUGAGGGAACCUGUGGUUGUUGUGGGGGCAGCUGUGGUUGUUGUUAGAGCAGCUGUGGUUGUUGUUAGAGCUGCUGUUGUUGUUGGGGAUUAGCUGUGGUUGUUGUUGGAGCAGCUGUGGUUGUUGUUAGAGCAGCUGUGGUUGUUGUUAGAGCAGCUGUGGUUGUUGUUGGAGCAGCUGUGGUUGUUGUUGGAGCAGCUGUGUUGUUGUUGGACCAGCUGUGGUUGUUGUGGGAGCAACUGUGGUUGUUGUGGGAGCAACUGUGGUUGUUGUGGGAGCAACUGUGGUUGUGGACCAGCUGUGGUUGUUGUGAGACCAGCUGUGGUUGUUGUGAGGCCAGCUGUGGUUGUUGUGAGACCAGCUGUGGUUGUUGUUGGAGCAGCUGUGGUUGUUGUUGGAGCAGCUGUGGUUGUUGUUGGAGCAGCUGUGGUUGUUGUAAGAGCAGCUAUGGUUGUUAUUGGAGCAGCUGUGGUUGUUGUUGGAGUAGUUAUGGUUGUUGUAGGAAUAGCUGUGGUAGUUGUGGGAGCAGCUGUGGUUGUUGUGGGAGCAGCUGUGGUUGGGGAGCAACUGUUGUUGUUGUGGGAGCAAAUGUGUUUGUUGUUAGACCAGCUGUAGUUGUUAGGGGAGCAGCUGUGGUUGUUGCGGGAGCAGCUGUGGUUGUUGUGGGAGCAGCUGUGGUAGUUGUGGGAGCAGCUGUGGUUGUUGUGGGAGCAACUGUGGUUGUUGUGGGAGCAACUGUGGUUGUUGUGAGACCAGCGGUGGUUGUUAGGGGAGCAGCUGUGGUUGUUGUUGGAGCAGCUGUGGUUGUUGUUAGAGCAGCUGUGGUUGUUGUUGGAGCAGCUGUUGUUGUUAUGAGGGAACCUGUGGUUGUUGUGGGGGCAGCUGUGGUUGUUGUUAGAGCAGCUGUGGUUGUUGUUAGAGCAGCUGUGGUUGUUGUUGGAGCAGCUGUUGUUGUUGGAGCAGCUGUGGUUGUUGUUGGACCAGCUGUGGUUGUUGUGAGACCAGCUGUGGUUGUUGUGGGAGCAGCUGUGGUUGUUGUGGGAGCAACUGUGGUUGUUGUGGGAGCAACUGUGGUUGUUGUUGGAGCAGCUGUGGUUGUUGUUGGAGCAGCUGUGGUUGUUGUAAGAGCAGCUAUGGUUGUUAUUGGAGCAGCUGUGGUUGUUGUUGGAGUAGUUAUGGUCGUUGUAGGAAUAGCUGUGGUAGUUGUGGGAGCAGCUGGUAGUUGUGGGAGCAGCUGUGGUUGUUGUUGGACCAGCUGUGGUUGUUGUGAGACCAGCUGUGGUUGUUGUGGGAGCAACUGUGGUUGUUGUGGGAGCAACUGUGGUUGUUGUGGGAGCAACUGUGGUUGUUGUGAGACCAGCUGUGGUUGUUGUGAGACCAGCUGUGGUUGUUGUGAGACCAGCUGUGGUUGUUGUGAGACCAGCUGUGGUUGUUGUUGGAGCAGCUGUGGUUGUUGUUGGAGCAGCUGUGGUUGUUGUUGGAGCAGCUGUGGUCAUUGUAAGAGCAGCUAUGGUUGUUAUUGGAGCAGCUGUGGUUGUUGUUGGAGUAGUUAUGGUCGUUGUAGGAAUAGCUGUGGUAGUUGUGGGAGCAGCUGUGGUUGUUGUGGGAGCAGCUGUGGUUGUUGUGGGAGCAACUGUUGUUGUUGUGGGAGCAAAUGUGUUUGUUGUUAGACCAGCUGUGGUUGUUAGGGGAGCAGCUGUGGUUGUUGCGGGAGCAGCUGUGGUUGUUGUGGGAGCAGCUGUGGUUGUUGUGGAAGCAACUGUGGUUGUUGUGGGAGCAACUGUGGUUGUUAUGAGACCAGUGGUGGUUGUUAGGGGAGCAGCUGUGGUUGUUGUUGGAGCAGUUAUGGUUGUUGUAGCUGCAGCUGUUGUAGUCGUAGCAGCAGCUGAGGUUGUUAUGAGGGAACCUGUGGUUGUUGUGGGGGCAGCUGUGGUUGUUGUUAGAGCAGCUGUGGUUGUUGUUAGAGCAGCUGUUGUUGUUGUUAGAGCAGCUGUGGUUGUUGUUGGAGCAGCUGUGGUUGUUGUAAGAGAAGCUAUGGUUGUUAUUGGAGCAGCUGUGGUUGUUGUUGGAGCAGUAAUGGUUGUAGUAGGUACAGCUAAGGUAGUUGUGGGAGCAGCUGUGGUUGUUGUGGGAGCAGCUGUGGUUGUUGUUGGAGCAGCUGUGGUUGUUGUUGGAGCAGCUGUGGUUGUUGUAAGAGCAGCUAUGUUUGUUAUUGGAGCAGCUGUGGUUGUUGUUGGAGUAGUUAUGGUUGUUGUAGGAACAGCUAAGGUAGUUGUGGGAGCAGCUGUGGUUGUUGUGGGAGCAGCUGUGGUUGUUGUGGGAGCAGCUGUGGUUGUUGUGGGAGCAACUGUGGUUGUUGUGGGAGCAACUGUGGUUGUUGUGGGAGCAACUGUGGUUGUUGUGAGACCAGCUGUGGUUGUUGUUGGAGCAACUGUGGUUGUUGUAAGACCAGCUGUGGUUGUUGUUGGACCAGCUGUGGUUGUUGUUGGAGCAGCUGUGGUUGUUGUAAGAGCAGCUGUGGUUGUUGUAAGAGCAGCUGUGGUUGUUGUUGGAGCAGCUGUGGUUGUUGUUGGAGUAGUUAUGGUUGUUGUAGGAACAGCUAAGGUAGUUGUGGGAGCAGCUGUGGUUGUUGUGGGAGCAGCUGUGGUUGUUGUGGGAGCAGCUGUGGUAGUUGUGGGAGCAACUGUGGUUGUUAUGAGACCAGUGGUGGUUGUUAGGGGAGCAGCUGUGGUUGUUGUUGGAGCAGUUAUGGUUGUUGUAGCUGCAGCUGUUGUCGUCGUAGCAGCAGCUGAGGUUGUUAUGAGGGAACCUGUGGUUGUUGUGGGGGCAGCUGUGGUUGUUGUAAGACCAGCUGUGGUUGUUGUUGGAGCAGCUGUGGUUGUUGUUGGAGCAGCUGUGGUUGUUGUUGGAGUAGUUAUGGUUGUUGUAGGAACAGCUAAGGUAGUUGUGGGAACAGCUGUGGUUGUUGUGGGAGCAGCUGUGGUUGUUGUGGGAGCAGCUGUGGUAGUUGUGGGAGCAACUGUGGUAGUUGUGGGAACAGCUGUGGUUGUUGUGGGAGCAGCUGUGGUUGUUGUGGGAGCAGCUGUGGUAGUUGUGGGAGCAACUGUGGUUGUUGUGGGAGCAACUGUGGUAGUUGUGGGAACAGCUGUGGUUGUUGUGGGAGCAGCUGUGGUUGUUGUGGGAGCAGCUGUGGUAGUUGUGGGAGCAACUGUGGUUGUUGUGGGAGCAACUGUGGUUGUUGUGGGAGCAACUGUGGUUGUUGUGAGACCAGCGGUGGUUGUUAGGGGAGCAGCUGUGGUUGUUGUUGGAGCAGUUAUGGUUGUUAUAGCUGCAGCUGUUGUUGUCGUAGCAGCAGCUGAGGUUGUUAUUAGGGAACCUGUGGUUGUUGUGGGGGCAGCUGUGGUUGUUGUUAGAGCAGCUGUGGUUGUUGUUGGAGCAGUUGUUGUUGUUGGAGCAGCUGUGGUUGUUGUUGGACCAGCUGUGGUUGUUGUGAGAUCAGCUGUGGUUGUUGUAAGACCAGCUGUGGUUGUUGUGGGAGCAACUGUGGUUGUUGUGGGAGCAACUGUGGUUGUUGUGGGAGCAACUGUGGUUGUUGUGGGAGCAACUGUGGUUGUUGUGAGACCAGCUGUGGUUGUUGUGAGACCAGCUGUGGUUGUUGUUGGAGCAGCUGUGGUUGUUGUUGGAGCAGCUGUGGUUGUUGUUGGAGCAGCUGUGGUUGUUGUAAGAGCACCUAUGGUUGUUAUUGGAGCAGCUGUGGUUGUUGUUGGAGUAGUUAUGGUUGUUGUAGGAAUAGCUAAGGUAGUUGUGGGAGCAGCUGUGGUUGUUGUGGGAGCAGCUGUGGUUGUUGUGGGAGCAACUGUGGUUGUUGUGGGAGCAAAUGUGUUUGUUGUUAGACCAGCUGUGGUUGUUGUGGGAGCAGCUGUGGUUGUUGUGGGAGCAGUUGUGGUUGUUGUGGGAGCAGCUGUGGUUGUUGUGGGAGCAACUGUGGUUGUUAUGAGACCAGCGGUGGUUGUUA
Oncorhynchus tshawytscha (Chinook salmon) is the source of this 6237-nucleotide long non-coding RNA. NCBI's taxonomy places the organism in Eukaryota, Metazoa, Chordata, Actinopteri, Salmoniformes, Salmonidae. The record is from Ensembl.